GAUGAACGCUGGCGGCGUGCUUAACACAUGCAAGUCGAACGAAGCACUUUAUUUGAUUUCCUUCGGGACUGAUUAUUUUGUGACUGAGUGGCGGACGGGUGAGUAACGCGUGGGUAACCUGCCUUGUACAGGGGGAUAACAGUUGGAAACGGCUGCUAAUACCGCAUAAGCGCACAGCAUCGCAUGAUGCAGUGUGGAAAACUCCGGUGGUAUAAGAUGGACCCGCGUUGGAUUAGCUAGUUGGUGAGGUAACGGCCCACCAAGGCGACGAUCCAUAGCCGACCUGAGAGGGUGACCGGCCACAUUGGGACUGAGACACGGCCCAAACUCCUAAGGGAGGCAGCAGUGGGGAAUAUUGCACAAUGGGCGAAAGCCUGAUGCAGCGACGCCGCGUGAGCGAAGAAGUAUUUCGGUAUGUAAAGCCCUAUCAGCAGGGAAGAUAAUGACGGUACCUGACUAAGAAGCACCGGCUAAAUACGUG
RNAcentral lists this ribosomal RNA (481 nucleotides) under uncultured bacterium. RNAcentral's name for it is "partial 16S ribosomal RNA". It matches the Rfam family "Bacterial small subunit ribosomal RNA", at positions 28 to 507 of the family's 1533-position model. The record is from RNAcentral.